This 119-nucleotide small RNA is filed under the name Marmota monax (woodchuck). The record is from RNAcentral. Lineage: Eukaryota; Metazoa; Chordata; Mammalia; Rodentia; Sciuridae.
GCUGGGUGUGGUAGUGCACACCUGUAAUCCUAGCUACUUGGGAGACUGAAGCAGGAGGCUCAAGACCAGCCUCAGUAACUUAGCAAGGCCCUCAGCAACUUAGUGAGACCCUAUCUCAA